This 444-nucleotide ribosomal RNA is filed under the name uncultured bacterium. RNAcentral's name for it is "partial 16S ribosomal RNA". It matches the Rfam family "Bacterial small subunit ribosomal RNA", at positions 338 to 795 of the family's 1533-position model. The record is from RNAcentral.
CCUACGGGAGGCAGCAGUUUCGAAUCAUUCACAAUGGGCGAAAGCCUGAUGGUGCGACGCCGCGUGAGGGAUGAAGGCCUUCGGGUUGUAAACCUCUGUCACUGGGGAAGAAACGCUUCAAGUUAAUAGCUUGAAGCCUGACUUAACCCAGAGAGGAAGCAGUGGCUAACUCUGUGCCAGCAGCCGCGGUAAUACAGAGACUGCAAGCGUUAUUGGGGCGCAGUGGGCGUAGUGGGUGCGGUGUGAACCCCCGGGGCUUAACCUCGGAAUUGCGCCUAAAACUACACGGCUAGAGCAGUGGAGAGGGUAGCGGAAUUCACGGUGUAGCAGUGAAAUGCGUAGAUAUCGUGAGGAACACCAGAGGCGAAGGCGGCUACCUGGACAAUUGCUGACGCUCAGGCACGAAAGCGUGGGGAGCAAAAGGGAUUAGAUACCCCGGUAGUC